UGUCUGAAGUACUACAAAUUUUUUAAAACUUUAGUAAUAUAAGUUGCUUAUUUAAUGGAUUAACAUGAUAGAAAUUGGGAGUAGAGUAAAACAAAAUUAAAUAAAACACAUGCUAGAGAUAAAGACAUCAUAGGCUGCGAGUAGGUGAGUGAUAACAUUGACAGUGUUGCAUGCAUGGAAAAGACAGUACACCACAAAAAACAAACAAGCUCGGUGAUCCAUACCCUAUUAGCCUAUGCCCUACCGGUAUACAUUACAAUCCAGCAUCAUAGUGACUUGCAUGGGCGUCUGCAGGUGGGGUAAAGGAGGUACUUGCCCCCCUCCUGGAUUUUUCAGCUUGUUCUGCUAUUUGUCAUGUGAGAUUGAAAAUACAGUGCAAUACCAUACUGUUUAUGGAGAGAGACAGAGAAAGGAAGCUACAUCUUAUCCCUGCUUCUCUCUCCUGACUGAAUCCGCAGGGGAGCAGCACAUGCAGCCAGAGACAGCCUACAGAUCAGGUAAGUGAGGCAUGGGGAGGGCAGACUAUAGAUCAGGUCAGUGAGGCAUGGGGGGAGAGAGAGCCUACAGAUCAGGUAAGUGAGGGAUGGGGGUGCAGACUAUGGGGGGCAGCCUAUAGAUCAGAGAAGUGAGGCAUGGGGGGGAGAGAGAGCCUACAGAUCAGGUAAGUGAGGGAUGGGGGAGCUGCCUAUAGAUCAGGGUAGUGAAGCAUUGGGGGACAGACUAUAGAUCAUGGAAGUGAGGCAUUAGGAGGCAGUCUAUAGAACAGUGAAGUGAGACAUGGGGGGCAGCCUAUACAUUUGGGAAGUGAGGUAGGGGGGAGUGGGAGACAGCCUAUAUAUCAGGUAAGUGAGGUAGGGGGAGGGGAGAGACAUCCUAUAUAUCAGGUAAGUGAGGUAGGGGCGAGGGGAGAGACAGCCUAUAGAUCAGGUAAGUGAGGAAGGGGGGAGGGAAGAGACAGCCUAUAGAUCAGGUAAGUGAUGGGGGGGAGACAGCCUAUAGAUCAGGUAAGUGAGGGAUGGGGGCAGCCUACAGAUCAGGGAAGUGAGGGAUGGAGGUGGAGAGAAAGCCUGUAGAUCAUGUAAGUGAGGGAUGGGGGAGAGACAGCCUAUAGAUAAGGUAAGUGAGGAAUGGAGGUGGAGAGAAAGCCUGUAGAUCAUGUAAGUGAGGGAUGGGGGGAGAGACAGCCUAUAAUAAGGUAAGUGAGGAAUGGGGGGAGAGACAGCCUAUAGAUCAGGUAAGUGAGAGAUGAGGGGGUGCAGCAUACAGAUCAGGUAAGUGAGGGAUGGAGGGAGAGACAGUCUAUAGAUCAGGUAAGUUAG
Non-coding RNA from Pelobates cultripes (western spadefoot toad), 1319 nucleotides. The record is from the annotation of a GenBank genome assembly. Lineage: Eukaryota; Metazoa; Chordata; Amphibia; Anura; Pelobatidae.